AGUGGCGGACGGGUGAGUAACGCGUGGGUAACCUACCUCAUACAGGGGGAUAACAGUUGGAAACGACCGCUAAUACCGCAUAACCCGCUAGUAUCGCAUGAUACAGACGGAAAAGAUUUAUCGGUGUGAGAUGGACCCGCGUCUGAUUAGCCAGUUGGCAGGGUAACGGCCUACCAAAGCAACGAUCAGUAGCCGGCCUGAGAGGGUGAACGGCCACAUUGGGACUGAGACACGGCCCAAACUCCUACGGGAGGCAGCAG
RNAcentral lists this ribosomal RNA (260 nucleotides) under uncultured bacterium. RNAcentral describes it as "partial 16S ribosomal RNA". It matches the Rfam family "Bacterial small subunit ribosomal RNA", at positions 94 to 354 of the family's 1533-position model. The record is from RNAcentral.